Molecule: ribosomal RNA, 253 nt
Filed under: uncultured bacterium
Lineage: Bacteria
Description: partial 16S ribosomal RNA
Rfam family: Bacterial small subunit ribosomal RNA
Source: RNAcentral
UACGGAGGGUGCAAGCGUUAUCCGGAUUCACUGGGUUUAAAGGGUGCGUAGGUGGGCAAGUAAGUCAGGUGUGAAAUCUCGGGGCUCAACCCCGAAACUGCACUUGAUACUGCCUCGCUUGAGUACUGGAGAGGAGACUGGAAUUUACGGUGUAGCAGUGAAAUGCGUAGAUAUCGUAAGGAAGACCAGUGGCGAAGGCGAGUCUCUGGACAGUUACUGACGCUGAGGCACGAAGGCCAGGGGAGCAAACGGG